GAAGGUAUAGCUCAAGUGGUAGAGCACAUUCUUAGCAUGCAUGAGGUCAUGGGUUCAAUCCCCAGUACUUCCU
This is a transfer RNA of Camelus ferus (Wild Bactrian camel), 73 nucleotides long. It matches the Rfam family "tRNA". From Rfam's summary of the family: Transfer RNA (tRNA) molecules are approximately 80 nucleotides in length. The record is from Rfam. NCBI's taxonomy places the organism in Eukaryota, Metazoa, Chordata, Mammalia, Artiodactyla, Camelidae.